ACGGAGCAACGCCGCGUGAGUCAUSAAGGUUUUCGGAUCGUAAAACUCUGUUGUUAGGGAAGAACAAGUAUCGUUCGAAUAGGGCGGUACCUUGACGGUACCUAACCAGAAAGCCACGGCUAACUACGUGCCAGCAGCCGCGGUAAUACGUAGGUGGCAAGCGUUGUCCGGAAUUAUUGGGCGUAAAGCGCGCGCAGGCG
This 200-nucleotide ribosomal RNA is filed under the name Bacillus sp. LMG 19410. Its description in RNAcentral is "partial 16S ribosomal RNA". It matches the Rfam family "Bacterial small subunit ribosomal RNA", at positions 386 to 577 of the family's 1533-position model. The record is from RNAcentral. Lineage: Bacteria; Bacillati; Bacillota; Bacilli; Caryophanales; Bacillaceae.